GUCCACGCCGUAAACGAUGGAUGCUAGCCGUCGGCAAGCUUGCUUGUCGGUGGCGCAGCUAACGCAUUAAGCAUCCCGCCUGGGGAGUACGGCCGCAAGGUUAAAACUCAAAGGAAUUGACGGGGGCCCGCACAAGCGGUGGAGCAUGUGGUUUAAUUCGACGCAACGCGAAGAACCUUACCAGCUCUUGACAUGUCAGGUCGGUUUCCAGAGAUGGAUUCCUCCCAGCAAUGGGCCUGAACACAGGUGCUGCAUGGCUGUCGU
This 264-nucleotide ribosomal RNA is filed under the name uncultured bacterium. RNAcentral's name for it is "partial 16S ribosomal RNA". It matches the Rfam family "Bacterial small subunit ribosomal RNA", at positions 793 to 1055 of the family's 1533-position model. The record is from RNAcentral.